CGCUGGCGGCGUGCUUAACACAUGCAAGUCGAACGAGAAUCACCGGAAGGAGUUUUCGGACAACGGAAGGUGAGGACAGUGGCGGACGGGUGAGUAACGCGUGAGGAACCUGCCUUUCAGAGGGGGACAACAGUUGGAAACGACUGCUAAUACCGCAUAACGCAUAGGUAUCGCAUGGUACUUAUGCCAAAGAUUUAUCGCUGAAAGAUGGCCUCGCGUCUGAUUAGCUGGUUGGUGAGGUAACGGCCCACCAAGGCGACGAUCAGUAGCCGGACUGAGAGGUUGACCGGCCACAUUGGGACUGAGAUACGGCCCAGACUCCUACGGGAGGCAGCAGUGGGGAAUAUUGGGCAAUGGGCGCAAGCCUGACCCAGCAACGCCGCGUGAAGGAAGAAGGCUUUCGGGUUGUAAACUUCUUUUGGCAGGGAAGAGGAGAAGACGGUACCUGCCGAAUAAGCCACGGCUAACUACGUGCCAGCAGCCGCGGUAAUACGUAGGUGGCAAGCGUUGUCCGGAUUUACUGGGUGUAAAGGGCGUGUACCCGGGUUGGUAAGUCAGAUGUGAAAUGCACGGGCUUAACUCGUGAACUGCAUUUGAAACUGCUGAUCUUGA
This 612-nucleotide ribosomal RNA is filed under the name uncultured rumen bacterium. RNAcentral describes it as "bacterial SSU rRNA". It matches the Rfam family "Bacterial small subunit ribosomal RNA", at positions 34 to 645 of the family's 1533-position model. The record is from RNAcentral.